UUUAGCAGCUAUAUCACCCUGCAACUCACAACUGGCAACCCCUGAAGCUAAGCAGGUGUGAGCCUGGUCAGUACCUGGAUAAGAGACCUCCUGGGAAAGAAACUAAGGUUGCUGCUGGAA
This 120-nucleotide ribosomal RNA is filed under the name Lepisosteus oculatus (spotted gar). The record is from RNAcentral. Lineage: Eukaryota; Metazoa; Chordata; Actinopteri; Semionotiformes; Lepisosteidae.